UACCAGCACCCCGAGUGGUCGGGACGAUUAUUGGGCCUAAAGCAUCCGUAGCCGGCCUUACAAGUCCUCCGUUAAAUCCAGCUGCUUAACAGAUGGGCUGCGGAGGAUACUAUGAGACUAGGAGGCAGGAGAGGCAAGCGGUACUCAGUGGGUAGGGGUAAAAUCCGUUGAUCCAUUGAAGAUCACCAGUGGCGAAGGCGGCUUGCCAGAAUGCGCUCGACGGUGAGGGAUGAAAGCUGGGGGAGCAAACCGG
RNAcentral lists this ribosomal RNA (253 nucleotides) under uncultured bacterium. RNAcentral's name for it is "partial 16S ribosomal RNA". It matches the Rfam family "Archaeal small subunit ribosomal RNA", at positions 474 to 727 of the family's 1478-position model. The record is from RNAcentral.